RNAcentral lists this ribosomal RNA (1187 nucleotides) under uncultured organism. RNAcentral's name for it is "bacterial SSU rRNA". It matches the Rfam family "Bacterial small subunit ribosomal RNA", at positions 265 to 1466 of the family's 1533-position model. The record is from RNAcentral.
UCACCAAGGCAGCGAUCAGUAGCUGGUCUGAGAGGACGAUCAGCCACACUGGGACUGAGACACGGCCCAGACUCCUACGAGAGGCAGCAGUGGGGAAUUUUCCGCAAUGGGCGAAAGCCUGACGGAGCAAGACCGCGUGAGGGAGGAAGGCUCUUGGGUUGUAAACCUCUUUCCUCAGGGAAGAAGCUCUGACGGUACCUGAGGAAUCAGCCUCGGCUAACUCCGUGCCAGCAGCCGCGGUAAUACGGAGGAGGCAAGCGUUAUCCGGAAUUAUUGAGCGUAAAGCGUCCGCAGGUGGCGAUUCAAGUCUGCUGUCAAAGCACGGGGCUUAACUCCGUUAAGGCAGUGGAAACUGAAUAGCUAGAGUGCCGUAGGGGUAGAGGGAAUUCCCGGUGUAGCGGUGAAAUGCGUAGAGAUCGGGAAGAACAUCGGUGGCGAAAGCGCUCUACUGGACGGCAACUGACACUCAGGGACGAAAGCUAGGGGAGCGAAUGGGAUUAGAUACCCCAGUAGUCCUAGCUGUAAACGAUGGAUACUAGGUGUAGCUUGUAUCGACCCGAGCUGUGCCGAAGCUAACGCGUUAAGUAUCCCGCCUGGGGAGUACGCACGCAAGUGUGAAACUCAAAGGAAUUGACGGGGGCCCGCACAAGCGGUGGAGUAUGUGGUUUAAUUCGAUGCAACGCGAAGAACCUUACCAGGGCUUGACAUGUCCGGAAUCCCGGUGAAAGCUGGGAGUGCCUUCGGGAGCCGGAACACAGGUGGUGCAUGGCUGUCGUCAGCUCGUGUCGUGAGAUGUUGGGUUAAGUCCCGCAACGAGCGCAACCCUCGUCUUUAGUUGCCAGCAUUAAGUUGGGCACUCUAGAGAGACUGCCGGUGACAAACCGGAGGAAGGUGGGGAUGACGUCAAGUCAGCAUGCCCCUUACGCUCUGGGCGACACACGUACUACAAUGGUCGGGACAGAGGGCAGCGAACCUGCGAAGGCAAGCUAAUCCCAGCAAACUCGGCCUCAGUUCAGAUCGCAGGCUGCAACUCGCCUGCGUGAAGGAGGAAUCGCUAGUAAUCGCCGGUCAGAAUACGGCGGUGAUCCGUUCCCGGGCCUUGUACACACCGCCCGUCACACCAUGGAAGCUGGCCACGCCCGAAGUCGUUACCCUAACCUUUCGGGGAAGGGGACGCCGAAGGCAGG